Molecule: long non-coding RNA, 526 nt
Organism: Rattus norvegicus (Norway rat)
Lineage: Eukaryota; Metazoa; Chordata; Mammalia; Rodentia; Muridae
Source: RefSeq, a predicted model, not a curated record
UUGAGGCAUGAUGCUUUGAGUCAUCUCAAAGGGCGCACUUGCAGCCUUAAGAACUCAUUCUCCUGCUGUCACACUCGAUGAUGUUCUGUCCUUCCUGAUUUAGCCACUCAUCCCCUGUCACCGCACCAACCCACACAGAAAAAAUCUGAUGACGACUCGUGGGACACUUACCUCAAACAAGACACUGUUCUAGAUCCUAGGGACACCAGCUAAUUGUACAGCUUGCAUCAGCAUAGGAAGAGACAGGAAGGAAGUGAAGGCCAAUGGACCGCAGCAAGAGAACACACACUAACACACCACGCUGCCCAACCCAGGACAGCCGCCAUCUCCCAAGGCCUGAGACCGCAGGUGUGCGUUCCACCACACGCAGCCAUCCUUGAAUCGUUAACAGGCAGAUCACCUGGAUGUGCCCUGAACCCCAGCUCUUUGCCUGUUUCCUGGAAGAUCGGAUUGACACAGAUGGUUCCCAGACAUGACUCUCUCCCUCCGUGGCUUUAGAUAAAUAAAUUAAACUUUCUAAGCUUUA